RNAcentral lists this long non-coding RNA (1126 nucleotides) under Suricata suricatta (meerkat). Its description in RNAcentral is "lncRNA (ENSSSUG00005022997.1)". Lineage: Eukaryota; Metazoa; Chordata; Mammalia; Carnivora; Herpestidae. The record is from RNAcentral.
CACAAUCAUAACGCGGGCGUGCUGUCCGGAAACACGGCAUCCGAGUUGGGGCGGCGGUGUUCCUAAACGGGCAAGGGACGCGGCCCAGGAAGCAGUGCAUCUACUGAGCCCUGAUCAUGCGCAUAAUCCUGUGCACCAUCUACACCGACAAACUGUCUCCCUAACUCCAAACCGCUGUCGUCCGCGGGCAGGGAAGGGGGGGAGCCUACCGCCCAGGCUCGUUCUGACGACAGCACACGGUCUGAUGGGACUGACGUUCCUUUCGGCGCAGAGCAAUGUCCGAUCGACACGGGGUUAUCACCUGUCGCCAGGCAGAAAGCGGCAGGGACCACAGGAGAGGUGCCACUGGUCAAUGCCAGGACCGGGGUCCCCGCCGGUCAGCGCACUUGCCUGGGAUCAGGGGGACGCCCGGCCUGCCUCGUGGAGGACACGCACACGCAGCCCGCUUUGCCCUCCCGUGGUCACUGUUAUGGUGGCCAGCCCGGGCCGCGUCGAGCUGCAGAGGGGUCUGGUACGCUGACGGGGUCAAACAUUGGGAAGGCGCCGGGACAGACAGCAGAGGACCAGUGUCUUUUGGUGGCACCUGGAACCACCUACCGGGAGCACUGAAGGAGAAGGAAGCCGCUGGAUCCGUCUGAUGCCCCCGCCCCGCCCUGUGCAGACGCCCAGACACCCUCACACACGCGGGGUUCUUCCUCCAAGUGAGGGCAGAGGCAGGAAGGGGAGCAGGAGAUCCCAGCGCCCCCUCUCCCCUGUGUGUCCUUAGAUUUCUCCACCAGAACCCAGCUGGGUCUGGCAGCUCACCUAAGGAGGCUGACCUCCGCCAUCCAUUGGCUGUGUGAUUUGGGGCAGAUUACUCAACCUCUCUGGGCCUCCGUCUCCUGAAGAGUCAUGUGGGGACAAUAACAGAACCGACUCAGCUGCGUUGUUCUGAGGAUUAAAAGAGGGAAUUCUCGGGCACCUGGGUGGCUGGCUCAUUAGGCGUCUGACUCCUGGUUUCGACUCAGGUCAUGAUCUCAUAGUUAGUGGGCUCGAGCCCCGCAUCGGGCUCAGCACUGACGGUGCAGAGCCUGCUUGGGAGUCUCUCUCUCCACCUCUGCCCCUCUCCCCUGCUCUUUCGCUCGCU